CUGAUAGUAUAUAUUAAAGUUGUUGCAGUUAAAAAGCUCGUAGUUGAAACUUGGGUGCGUAGGGGCGGUCUCUUUUAGAGUACUACCCUGAAACAUCUUUCUUUGGUGUAAACUUUCUAUUUAUUUAGGAAGUGUAAACCAAACAUUUACUUUGAAAAAAUUAGAGUGUUCAAAGCAGGCCUUUGCUCGAAUAUAUUAGCAUGGAAUAAUAGAAUAGGACGUAUGGUUCUAUUUUGUUGGUUUCUAGGACCGUCGUAAUGAUUAAUAGGGACGGUCGGGGGCAUCAGUAUUCAGUUGUCAGAGGUGAAAUUCUUGGAUUUACUGAAGACUAAAUACUGCGAAAGCAUUUGCCAAGGACGUUUUCAUUAAUCAAGAACGAAAGUUAGGGGAUCGAAGACGAUCAGAUACCGUCGUAGUCUUAACCGUAAACUAUGCCGACUAGGGAUCGGAGGGCGUUAUAAUAACCUCUCCGGCACCUUACGAGAAAUCAAAGUUUUUGGGUUCUGGGGGGAGUAUGGUUGCAAGGCUGAAACUUAAAGGAAUUGACGGAAGGGCACCACCAGGAGUGGAGCCUGCGGCUUAAUUUGACUCAACACGGGGAAACUCACCAGGUCCAGACACAAUAAGGAUUGACAGAUUGAGAGCUCUUUCAUGAUUUUGUGGGUGGUGGUGCAUGGCCGUUCUUAGUUGGUGGAGUGAUUUGUCUGCUUAAUUGCGAUAACGAACGAGACCUUAACCUGCUAAAUAGCUGUAACAAUAGAUUAUUG
Molecule: ribosomal RNA, 767 nt
Filed under: Geotrichum candidum
Lineage: Eukaryota; Fungi; Ascomycota; Dipodascomycetes; Dipodascales; Dipodascaceae
Description: SSU rRNA
Rfam family: Eukaryotic small subunit ribosomal RNA
Source: RNAcentral